This 253-nucleotide ribosomal RNA is filed under the name uncultured bacterium. RNAcentral's name for it is "partial 16S ribosomal RNA". It matches the Rfam family "Bacterial small subunit ribosomal RNA", at positions 524 to 776 of the family's 1533-position model. The record is from RNAcentral.
UACAGAGGUGGCAAGCGUUGUUCGGAAUUACUGGGCGUAAAGGGCGCGUAGGCGGCCAUUUAAGUCAGACGUGAAAUCCCCCGGCUUAACCGGGGCAUUGCGUCUGAUACUGGGUGGCUCGAGUGCGGGAGAGGAAUGCGGAAUUCCAGGUGUAGCGGUGAAAUGCGUAGAUAUCUGGAGGAACACCGGUGGCGAAGGCGGCAUUCUGGACCGACACUGACGCUGAGGCGCGAAAGCCCGGGGAGCAAACGGG